Molecule: ribosomal RNA, 474 nt
Filed under: uncultured bacterium
Lineage: Bacteria
Description: partial 16S ribosomal RNA
Rfam family: Bacterial small subunit ribosomal RNA
Source: RNAcentral
AACGAACGCUGGCGGCAUGCCUAACACAUGCAAGUCGAACGAGACCUUCGGGUCUAGUGGCGCACGGGUGCGUAACGCGUGGGAACCUGCCCUUAGGUUCGGAAUAACUCCCCGAAAGGGGUGCUAAUACCGGAUAAUGUCUUCGGACCAAAGAUUUAUCGCCUUUGGAUGGGCCCGCGUUGGAUUAGCUAGUUGGUAGGGUAAAAGCCUACCAAGGCGACGAUCCAUAGCUGGUCUGAGAGGAUGAUCAGCCACACUGGGACUGAGACACGGCCCAGACAGGGACGGGUGGGAGCGGGAGGGAGUGUGGGAGAAGGGGGAAGGGCUGGAGCAGGCGAGGACGCGUGAGGUAGGAAGCGCGCAGGCUUGAAAAGCGUUUGGAACAGGAAUGAGAAUGACGGGAGAGGGAAAGACAGCUCCGGCUAACUCCGCGCCAGCAGCCGGGGUAAUACUGGGAAGAGCACCCGUCUGAAC